This 665-nucleotide ribosomal RNA is filed under the name uncultured Actinomycetes bacterium. Its description in RNAcentral is "bacterial SSU rRNA". It matches the Rfam family "Bacterial small subunit ribosomal RNA", at positions 232 to 885 of the family's 1533-position model. The record is from RNAcentral. Lineage: Bacteria; Bacillati; Actinomycetota; Actinomycetes.
CGCGGCCUAUCAGCUUGUUGGUGGGGUAACGGCCCACCAAGGCAUCGACGGGUAGCUGGUCUGAGAGGACGAUCAGCCACACUGGGACUGAGACACGGCCCAGACUCCUACGGGAGGCAGCAGUAGGGAAUCUUGCGCAAUGGGCGAAAGCCUGACGCAGCAACGCCGCGUGGGGGAGGAAGGCCUUCGGGUUGUAAACCACUGUCGGGCGGGACGAGCCGGGGGUCGUCGAACAGGCGGCUCCUCCGACGGUACCGUCCAUAGGAAGCUCCGGCUAACUCCGUGCCAGCAGCCGCGGUAAAACGGAGGGAGCAAGCGUUGUCCGGAAUUACUGGGCGUACAGAGCGCGCAGGCGGCCAGGUGAGUCGUAUGUGAAAGGCCCGGGCUCAACCCGGGCAUGCCAUGCGAUACUGCCUGGCUAGAGGCCGGCAGGGGCCAGUGGAAUUCCCGGUGUAGCGGUGGAAUGCGUAGAUAUCGGGAGGAACACCAGCGGCGAAGGCGACUGGCUGGGCCGGACCUGACGCUGCAGCGCGAAAGCGUGGGGAUCAAACAGGAUUAGAUACCCUGGUAGUCCACGCCGUAAACGAUGGGCACUAGAUGUUGGGAGGUCUUGGGCCUCUCAGUGUCGCAGCUAACGCAUUAAGUGCCCCGCCUGGGGAGUACGG